RNAcentral lists this ribosomal RNA (253 nucleotides) under uncultured bacterium. RNAcentral's name for it is "partial 16S ribosomal RNA". It matches the Rfam family "Bacterial small subunit ribosomal RNA", at positions 524 to 776 of the family's 1533-position model. The record is from RNAcentral.
UACGAAGGGGGCUAGCGUUGCUCGGAAUCACUUGGCGUAAAGCGCACGUAGGCGGAUUGUUAAGUCAGGGGUGAAAUCCUGGAGCUCAACUCCAGAACUGCCUUUGAUACUGGCGAUCUCGAGUCCGGGAGAGGUGAGUGGAACUGCGAGUGUAGAGGUGAAAUUCGUAGAUAUUCGCAAGAACACCAGUGGCGAAGGCGGCUCACUGGCCCGGUACUGACGCUGAGGUGCGAAAGCGUGGGGAGCAAACAGG